This 931-nucleotide ribosomal RNA is filed under the name Candidatus Phytoplasma asteris-related phytoplasma. RNAcentral describes it as "bacterial SSU rRNA". The record is from RNAcentral. Lineage: Bacteria; Bacillati; Mycoplasmatota; Mollicutes; Acholeplasmatales; Acholeplasmataceae.
GCUUAGGGAGGAGCUUGCGUCACAUUAGUUAGUUGGUGGGGUAAAGGCCUAMCAAGACUAUGAUGUGUAGCCGGGCUGAGAGGUUGAACGGCCACAUUGGGACUGAGACACGGCCCAAACUCCUACGGGAGGCAGCAGUAGGGAAUUUUCGGCAAUGGAGGAAACUCUGACCGAGCAACGCCGCGUGAACGAUGAAGUAUUUCGGUACGUAAAGUUCUUUUAUUAGGGAAGAAUAAAUGAUGGAAAAAUCAUUCUGACGGUACCUAAUGAAUAAGCCCCGGCUAACUAUGUGCCAGCAGCCGCGGUAAUACAUAGGGGGCAAGCGUUAUCCGGAAUUAUUGGGCGUAAAGGGUGCGUAGGCGGUUAAAUAAGUUUAUGGUCUAAGUGCAAUGCUCAACAUUGUGAUGCUAUAAAAACUGUUUAGCUAGAGUAAGAUAGAGGCAAGUGGAAUUCCAUGUGUAGUGGUAAAAUGCGUAAAUAUAUGGAGGAACACCAGUAGCGAAGGCGGCUUGCUGGGUCUUUACUGACGCUGAGGCACGAAAGCGUGGGGAGCAAACAGGAUUAGAUACCCUGGUAGUCCACGCCGUAAACGAUGAGUACUAAACGUUGGGUAAAACCAGUGUUGAAGUUAACACAUUAAGUACUCCGCCUGAGUAGUACGUACGCAAGUAUGAAACUUAAAGGAAUUGACGGGACUCCGCACAAGCGGUGGAUCAUGUUGUUUAAUUCGAAGGUACCCGNNNACCUCACCAGGUCUUGACAUGCUUCUGCAAAGCUGUAGAAACACAGUGGAGGUUAUCAGUUGCACAGGUGGUGCAUGGUUGUCGUCAGCUCGUGUCGUGAGAUGUUGGGUUAAGUCCCGCAACGAGCGCAACCCUUAUUGUUAGUUACCAGCACGUAAUGGNGGGGACUUUAGCAAGACUGCCAGNGA